This is a long non-coding RNA of Scylla paramamosain (green mud crab), 1863 nucleotides long. RefSeq lists it as uncharacterized. The record is from RefSeq and is a predicted model, not a curated record. NCBI's taxonomy places the organism in Eukaryota, Metazoa, Arthropoda, Malacostraca, Decapoda, Portunidae. The transcript has 2 exons.
AUUCCACUCAGAUGUAAUUGUGGCUAGUACCUGAAAAGAGGGAGAAAGUGAGUUAAGUCCCGAGCUAGUUCGUGCCUGCCGAACCACCUGAGAGAAGAAAGGCAUGGUUCCCUCCGCACCGAGCGCUUCGUGAGUCAUUAGUGGUGACUGAACCUGCUUCACUUGCUUCUUUGGGGAACGUGAGUCGGCUCACCUCGUGGGUCAAGUCGGAGGGAGGUGGCGGAUGUGGUGGUUGUGGGGACGGCAACACAGUCGACGGCAGAGACAAGUGCGCCGCACGCACGUGUGGUGCACGAGGCCACUGAACACCAACUUAUGAACUCACUAAUAGAUCAUGUUAUUAAGUUAGAGAAGGUCAAUUGCAGGCUGCAGGACAGAAUUUGUAAGUUGGAGAAGUGUCAAGAAAGACAGCAGAUGUCCGAGAAAGAAAAUACGGAUGAAACAAUGGAUCGGGGUAGUCCUCUAGUGGCUCUGCGCAAUUAUCAGCAUUUUUUUCUGCCUGCAGGAGAGGAUGUUAGAAGGUUGUCUGUUUAUGUUAUGAAUAAUAUACCAGUCGAGUUGGUAUCAUCUCUUGGUAAAUAUGGGGGAUAGAAUAUAUAGCAGUAAGACUCAUGACUGGUACAGAAUUCAUUAAUGUGGUAAAUGUGUAUGUGCACCAGAACUCCUUGAGCUUAGAGCACUUUCCGAUGCAAUGUUUUAUGAGCCUACAUUGUUGGUUGGAGACAUUAAUGCUAGACAUGAUGCUCUUGAUCCCCCUGGAGGCAGGAAUUGGAAUGAAAUUGUCUGGCACAAAUUUCUUAACGACUGUGAUGAUGCGUGUUUGCUUGGGGAUGACUUAUCCACUCAUAUAAAGGGAGGGAGGCUAGACUAUGUGUGUUUGCUGAAUACACGCGGGAUGGAAGGCAAAUGUAAGGUUGUCUCUGAAAUGCUAAGUGAAGGGAUACCACUUAGUAUAUACCAUUUGUCUGCCACAGAAGAGUGAAAUACAGAAUUACAAAUACAAAAAGGGAACAUUUUAUUCAGCACAUUGCUCAUUGGUAUAACACAUAUCAUGCAUAGGAUAUAAACAUAUUUUACGAGGAUUUAUUAGAAUAAAUAGCUAAAAUUGUCGACAAGAAUGUGGUGGAGCGUAAGAGAAUUUUAGGGCUACGAAGAGAUUACACCAUAGAUGGGCAGCUCCGAGCUUGUAAUCAUACGUUAAAGCAGGCAUAUCAGGAGUGGAUUACGUUUAGUAAAAGUGAGGAGGCUAGAGUUGCAUUGCAGGAAGUAACGAAGGCAUGUACUGUAGCUCGACGAGAAGCAAGGGAGAAGUAUUGGAAAAUCUUUUUGGAAAAUAUUGCUGCAACACUAUCCACAAAAGAAAUAUGGAACAAAGUAAAUAAAGUGAGAGGGGUGCGUAGAGGUAUGAGGGUAGUGAGGGGCUCACAGAAAGUAGCAGAUGAUUUGACAUAGAUGGGCACAUGCAGGUAGCAUAUCACCUUUACCAGAGAUGGUUAUCAGGGAGUUACGGAAUCACGAGGACAAGAGGAAUGACUUAAUUUUUACCUGUAUUAACAGACGUGAUUCAUCGUGUGUUGCUAUAACAAGGGAAGAAUUACUGGCAAAAGUUAAAAAAGAUGUAUCCACUGCACCCGGUGCUGAUGGAAUUACAUAUAUCAAGUAUCAGGAAGGGCUCCUUAAUAGAUUUAUUCAACAUGAGUUUCAGUUCAAGGAGGCUGCCAAGGAAAUGUAAGGUAGCUGUUGUUUUCCAGUCCCUAAAAGGCAACGGAAGUUGCCGCUUUCCAAUAAAAUGUAUGGUUUUUGUCAAAGGGAAAAAACACGUCAGACUGUAUUAUUUCUUGUUUGUUAAAUUCUAAAGAUGAA